AUUUCUCUGUCUUGUCUUCCCUGUAUUCCUCCAAGAGCUGACAUGCAAGCAUGAAUAAUCAAGAAAUCUCUAAAUUAUGCCAAUAGGAUAAAAGAAAGAUGAUUAUAAACCAACGUGCUUCAGAAGAAAAGCCAAUGACUGCUGGCCAAGUUUUCAACAGAGCAACAAACAGAGCAAUUUGUUUUAAAGUUUUAAAGAGGACUUGUACUUGUCUGAAAUAGAUGAGCUUCAGAGACAUUGCCAGUCUUUAAAUUUGCAAUGAUGCCGCUAGUGAGGAACUAAGUAAUUGUGGAGCAGUUCUUGUAACUGAAUGUACACCCAUCUACUAAAGAAAGGCUUCACAGUGACAUACAUUCCAGAGGGAACAGCAUCACCAUGCCUCACAGCAAGGGCACCUGCUAUCAUCUGAGGAACGCCUUAAACACGAAGUUCAAAGCUUUACUGUGUUAUUUAGUAUCUUUCUGGAAAGAUCGUCUACUUGGCUAAGAGUAUCAUCAAUUAAAGCCUCGUCAUUUCACACUAUCUUUAUAAGUUAAUAAAUGAGAUUGCUAUUCUGAG
Long non-coding RNA from Gallus gallus (chicken), 558 nucleotides. The record is from Ensembl. Lineage: Eukaryota; Metazoa; Chordata; Aves; Galliformes; Phasianidae.